RNAcentral lists this ribosomal RNA (253 nucleotides) under uncultured bacterium. RNAcentral's name for it is "partial 16S ribosomal RNA". It matches the Rfam family "Bacterial small subunit ribosomal RNA", at positions 524 to 776 of the family's 1533-position model. The record is from RNAcentral.
UACGUAGGGACCAAGCGUUGUUCGGAUUUACUGGGCGUAAAGGGCGCGUAGGCGGCGAAUCAAGUCAGCUGUGAAAUCUCCGAGCUUAACUCGGAACGGUCAGCUGAUACUGUUUUGCUAGAGUGCAGAAAGGGCAACCGGAAUUCUUGGUGUAGCGGUGAAAUGCGUAGAUAUCAAGAGGAACACCUGAGGCGAAGGCGGGUUGCUAGGCUGACACUGACGCUGAAGCGCGAAAGCUAGGGUAGCGAACGGG